ACGAAGGGUGCAAGCGUUACUCGGAAUCACUGGGCGUAAAGCGUGCGUAGGCGGUUUCUUAAGUCUGUCGUGAAAGCCCUGGGCUCAACCUGGGAAUGGCGAUGGAUACUGGGAGGCUAGAGUGUGAUAGAGGAUGGUGGAAUUCCCGGUGUAGCGGUGAAAUGCGUAGAGAUCGGGAGGAACACCAGAGGCGAAGGCGGCGACCUGGAUAGGCACUGACACUCAACUGCGAAAGCGUGGGGAGCAAACAGGA
RNAcentral lists this ribosomal RNA (253 nucleotides) under uncultured prokaryote. Its description in RNAcentral is "partial 16S ribosomal RNA". It matches the Rfam family "Bacterial small subunit ribosomal RNA", at positions 525 to 777 of the family's 1533-position model. The record is from RNAcentral.